GGCCAGACUCCUACGGGAGGCAGCAGUGGGGGAUAUUGCACAAUGGGGGAAACCCUGAUGCAGCGACGCCGCGUGUGGGAAGGCGGUCCUCUGGAUUGUAAACCACUGUCCCCAGGGACGAAGAUGACGGUACCUGGGGAGGAAGCUCCGGCUAACUACGUGCCAGCAGCCGCGGUAAUACGUAGGGGGCAAGCGUUAUCCGGAUUUACUGGGUGUAAAGGGGGCGCAGACGGCGAUGCAAGCCAGGAGUGAAAGCCCGGGGCCCAACCCCGGGACUGCUCUUGGAACUGCGUGGCUGGAGUGCAGGAGGGGCAGGCGGAAUUCCUGGUGUAGCGGUGAAAUGCGUAGAUAUUAGGAGGAACACCAGUGGCGAAGGCGGCCUACUGGACGGUGACUGACGCUGAGGCUCGAAAGCGUGGGGAGCAAACAGGAUUAGAUACCCUCGUA
This 447-nucleotide ribosomal RNA is filed under the name uncultured bacterium. Its description in RNAcentral is "bacterial SSU rRNA". It matches the Rfam family "Bacterial small subunit ribosomal RNA", at positions 329 to 792 of the family's 1533-position model. The record is from RNAcentral.